AGAGAUGCGCAGUGCUGCCCCUUUCUAUGGGCAGGGCCGAAGGUCCGCGUGUAAAAGUACCCAGUCCCUGGUAACCUGACACUUCCCUUUUAAAAGCCACCUUUUGUCUAUCUCUGGCCUGCCACGAUUCUUCCUGUGCUCCAUAGGAGGACCCAUUGGACCCCCGGGCUGGCUGCAGGGCCCACACCUGGGUUAGACCUCGCACAGGGACGCUGCUGCCACUGUAAUAAAGCGUGCCUACACGCUUCUGAAACUGGUGUAGGAACAACCUCAGUUCUGUGAAAGGCGGACGCAGCAGGACAGAAUCUCCGUGGACAUCUGUCUGGAGGAGCAAUUUUACUGCGACAUUUUAAAGAAACAAAUUUAAUUGAUUUCCAAGGGUGUCCAUCGCGCUUCCUUCACUGCCUUGAUCAUGUCGGGGUCACCACCUGCGGGGGUUUGUCCUGCAGACCCUGACUCAACGACGGAUGAAUAAUGUACACUGACACAGAUCUUAUGCUUGUCAGUCCUGCUGAGCAUCCAGGCCACUUACAGACUCCAAGAAGAGUCCUGUCAGCCACGGCUCUGACUUGUUGGCCCUCCCGGCAUUUAUUUAGCACACAUUUAAUGACAGAAGUCUCAGGCUGGAAACACUCUUUUUGUAGAACAUACAAAUGGACAUUUCUAAGCACAUUGAGGCCUAUAAUGAAAAAUCAAAUAUCCCACAAUGAAAACUAGAAGGAAGCUAUCUGUGAUAAUGCUUUGUGGUGUAUGGAUUCAUCUCACUGACUGAAACCUGAGUUUUGAUUCACCAGAAUCUAUGCAGGGACAUUUUUGUGCUCAUUGAGGCCUACUGUGAAAAACCAAACAUCAGGGGUGGAGCCAAAAAAGCCAAAUAGGAACAGCUCCAGUCUACAGCUCCCAGCAUGAGCCACACAGAAGAUGGAUGAUUUCUGCAUUUCCAACUGAGGUACCAGGUUCAUCUCACUGGGGAGUGUUGGAAAGUGGGUUCAGGACAGUGGGUGCAGGACACCGAGCAUGAGCCAAAAGAGGGUGAGGCAUCACCUCACCUGGGAAGCACAAGGGGUCAGGGAAUUCACUUUCCUAGUCAAAGAAAGUGGUGACAGAUGGCACCUGGAAAAUCAGGUCACUCCCACCAUAAUACUGCACUUUUCCAAUGGUCUUAGCAAAUGGCACACCAGGAGAUUAUAUCCCUUGCAUGGCUUGGAGGGUUCUACACCCAUGGAGCCUUGCUUAUUGCUAGCACAGCAGUAUAAGAUCAAACUGCAAGGUGGCAGAGAGGCUUGGGGAGGGGCACCCACCAUUGCCGAGGCUUGAAUAGGUAAACAAAGUGGCUAGGAAGCUCGAACUUGGUGGAGCCCACCACAGCUCAAGGAGGCCUGCCUGCCUCUGUAGACUCCACCUCCGGGGGCAGGACAUAGCCAAACAAAAGGCAACAGAAACCUUUGCAGAUUUAAUUGUCCCUGUCUGACAGCUUUGAAGAGAGUAGUGGUUCUCCCAGCACGCAGCUGGAGAUCUGAGAAUGGAGAGAUUGCCUCCUCAAGUGGGUCCCUGAACCCCAAGUAGCAUAACUGGGAAGCACCCCCCAGUAGGGGCAGACUGACACCUCACAAGGCCGGGUACUCCUCUGAGACAAAACUUCCAGAGGAACAAUCAGGCAUCAACAUUUGCUGUUCACCAAUAUCCGCUGUUCUGCAGCCUUUGCUGCUGAUACCUAGGCAAAUAGGGUCUGGAGUGGACCUCCAGCAAACUCCAACAGACCUGCAGCUGAGGGUCCUGACUGUUAGAAGGAAAACUAACAAACAGAAAGGACAUCCACACAAAAACCCCAUCUGUACGUCACCAUCAUUGAAGACCAAAGGUAGAAAAAACCACAAAAAUGGGGAAUAAAACAGAAAAGAAAAACUGGAAACUCUAAAAAUUAGAGUGCCUCUCCUCCUCCAAAGGAAUGCAGCUCCUCACCAGCAAUGAAACAAAGCUGGAUGGAGAAUGACUUUGACGACUUGAGAGAAGAAGGCUUCAGAUGAUCAAACUAUUCUGAGCUAAAAGAGAAAGUUCGAACCCAUGGCAAAGAAGUUAAAAACCUUGAAAAAAAGUUAGAUGAAUAGCUAACUAGAAUAGCCAAUGCAGAGAAGUCCUUAAAGGACUUGAUGGAGCUGAAAACCAAGGCACGAGAAAUACAUGAUGAAUGCACAAGCCUCAGUAACCAAUUCGAUCAACUGGAAGAAAGGGUAUCAGUGAUGGAAGAUCAAAUGAAUGAAAUGAAGUGAGAAGAGAAGCUUAUAGAAAAAAGAAUAAAAAGAAAUGAACAAAGCCUUCAAGAAAUAUGGGACUAUGUAAAAACCCCAAAUCUACAUCGGAUUGUUGUAUCCGAAAGUGACAGGGAGAAUGGAACCAAGUUGGAAAACACUCUGCGGGAUAAUAUCCAGGAGAAUUUCCCCAAUCUAGCAAGGCAGGCCAACAUUCAAAUUCAGGAAAUAACAGAGAAUGCUACAAAGAUACUCCUCGAGAAGAGCAACUCCAAGACACAUAAUUGUCAGAUUCGCCAAAUUUCAAAUGAAGGAAAAAAUGUUAAGGAUAGCCAGAGAGAAAGGUCGGGUUACCCACAAAGGGAAGCCCAUCGGACAAACAGCAGAUAUGUCAGUAGAAACUCUACAAGCCGGAAGAGAGUGGGGGCCAAUAUUCAACAUUCUUAAAGAACAGAAUUUUCAACGCAGAAUUUCAUAUACAGUCAAACUAAGCUUCAUAAGUGAAGGAGAAAUAAAAUGCUUUACAGACAAGCAAAUGCUGAGAGAUUUCGUCACCACCAGGCCUUCCCUAAAAGAGCUCCUGAAGGAAGCACUAAACAUGGAAAGGAACAACUGAUACCAGCCACUGCAAAAACAGGCCAAAUUGUAAAGACCAUUGAGGCUAGGAAGAAACUGCAUCACCUAAUGAGCAAAAUAGCCAGCUAACAUCAUAAUGACAGGAUCAAACUCACACGUAACAAUAUUAACCUUAAAUGCAAAUGGGCUAAAUGCUCCAAUUAAAAGACACAGACUGGCAAAUUGGAUAAAAGGUCAGGAGCUAUCAGUAUGCUGUAUUCAGGAAACACAUCUCACAUACAGAGAC
This is a long non-coding RNA of Homo sapiens (human), 3111 nucleotides long. Ensembl annotates it as long intergenic non-protein coding RNA 662. NCBI's taxonomy places the organism in Eukaryota, Metazoa, Chordata, Mammalia, Primates, Hominidae. The record is from Ensembl.